This is a long non-coding RNA of Pezoporus flaviventris, 758 nucleotides long. RefSeq lists it as uncharacterized. The record is from RefSeq and is a predicted model, not a curated record. Lineage: Eukaryota; Metazoa; Chordata; Aves; Psittaciformes; Psittacidae. The transcript has 3 exons.
GAAAGUUCUUCAGUUCAUCACAAGACUGAGCUCUAGGAGCUCAACUGGGUCAGCUAUUAUUAACUGCUUCCCAACCUGGAUGCGUACAUUGCUACCAACAGAGUCUGAGUUGUCUUUGCAGGAUUUAGAUGCUGCGGUAUUCUUACGGAUUACUCAAAACACCUUUGGAAAAGACCAUAUCUUGCAGGAGGUCAUCUAUGUGGAUCUGAAUUUGAGAGGGGCCAAUGUGCUGCACUGGAUCCAGCUGAGAAAAUCACAACCUGAAACUAGCAGAGAGACCUUUGAAACCACACCUGAGGGCAAAAAUAAAUGAAACUGAAUGCAGACUGCAUGAAUGAAAACAAACUGUCCUCAUUCACUAAUCUCUCCAGGAAGGAGACAGACUUUUGUUCCAAGUUUCUUCUGUAGCAAAUAUUUGUGGACAAUCACUGGGGAUAAAGAAAGCCAUAAUGGGAACCACCCGGAUGUAACUGUAUAUGAGAAGUUAUUUCAUUUCCUAGGCUUGGCAAGAAAGAUGUGCUUCUGUGAGGACAUCCAACUUGGGUCAUUAAUAGAAAAGCACCUAGGAUCUUCUCCAUUAAAACAGAAAUCCAGCUUCUACCACUGCAGCUAAAAAAAGAAAUUCAUAACUUGCACGGUUUCACUGCAUGUGGAUAUCCCCCCUCUCCAUCAAACAUAGUAAGAAUGGCAGUCAGGGAAAACUGGAUAGAUUUUUAUCGAUCUUGAUGGCUAAACCACUGGGAUGUGUUUGCUCACAG